UAGUUUUUGAUGAUAUAUGGAAUAUAAGGUUUUGGGGAUAUAUAAAACAUGCUUUACCAGAUAAUGGCAAAGGUAGUAGAAUAAUAAUCACAACUCGAAGUGAAAGUAUUGCUCCCACUAACAAAGAAUCUCCAUCUUAUCAUAUGUAUAAGUUGUCACCUCUACCUUUAGAAAAAGCCUACGAACUUUUCUAUAAGAAAGUAUUCCAAUGUGAAUCAAGGGAUUAUUCUCUUGAAUUAGUUGAAUUGUCACAUCUUAUAAUUGAGAGAUGCGAAGGGUUGCCAUUAGCACUUGAGGUUAUAGGUGGUCUUUUGUCUACCAAGAAAAAGACUGCUUUUGAGUGGUGCAAAUUUCUCGAUAGCCUUAGUUCAGAGCUACAAAGUGAUCCUCAUCUUCUAAGUAUUACCAAAAUUCUAUCACUUAGCUAUUUUGAUCUACCUUACAACCUCAAAGCUUGUUUCUUAUACUUAGGCAUGUUUCCAGAGGAUUACUUCAUCAAUUGUGCAAGACUAAUUAGGCUUUGGAUUGUCGAAGGGUUUAUAAAAGAAAAACAAGGGAUAACAUUGGAAGAUGUUGCACAAGACUACUUGAAGCAGCUCAUUCAUAGAAGUUUGAUUCAAGUGGAACAUGUCGGUUUUAUUGGCAGAAUUAGAAUGUGUCGAGUUCAUGAUAUGAUGCGUGAGGUCAUUUUAUCUAGGUCAGAGGACUUAGGUUUCCAUGUGGUCUCAAUACAAAACUACUCAAGUUUUGAUAGGAUUGCUCGAUGCCUCUCAAUUCGGAAUAAUGUAGAUACUCCUUUGAAGUAUAUUACCAGUUCCAAAACUCGUUCUAUUCUCAUUUUGGGAGUAUAUCAAGUGUCCAAUGCUUUUCUUACUACUUGUUUUGUAAAUUUCAAACUCAUGAAAAUUAUGGAUUUCGAAGGUGCUCCUAUAAAUCACAUUCCUAAGGAAGUAGGCAACUUAUUCCAUCUAAGAUAUUUAAGCUUGAGAGAUACAAAAGUGCAGGUGCUUCCAAAGUCCAUAGGUAAACUACAGAACUUAGAGUCUUUGGAUUUGAAACGUUCCCUUGUGUACAAGCUACCAAUGGAGAUCAAUGGGCUCUGUAAGCUACGAUACCUCGUGGCCUACAUUGGAAACAAUAAUAUUGACGUUAGUUUUGGUUCUCGAAGACCAGUAAAGAUACAAAGUGGCAUUGGGUCUUUACUCUUUAGAGUCCUUGGAGAAGCUUUAUAAUGUGGAAGCCGACUGUGCUGCCCUUGUUGAAGAGUUAGGAAGGUUGACGCAGUUGAGAAAGUUAGAAAUCUCUAAACUAAAGCGGGAACACGGGAUGUCUUUGUGCACUGCAUUGGAAAAAAUGAGCUACCUUCGAUCGUUGAGACUCAGUUCAACAAGUGAAGAAGAAAAUCUUGAAUUGCAAUCAAUGUCUUCUGCAAAUUAUUUUCCUAUUGCUUUAUCUUUCUCUCUAUUGGCCAUGUAUUGACAAGUUUAUGUUCAUUUCCGAUACAAAUCUGAGUCUGCAUUUCUUCUUACAGAGUGUGACCCCGAAUUUGUCUUUGGGUGGGGAAGUAUUUUGGGUUGGUCAGCAUUGAAAGUCCGGUAUUGGCUAUGCUGCUCGUUACAACACUGACAAGAUGGUUGCCACGGGGCAAGUUGCCAGCACUGGAAUGGUUGCACUCAGUUAUGUUCAGAAUUCUGAGAAGGUUUCUCUAGCAUCAGAAUUUAUGUACAACUACCUGUCAAGAGACGUCACCGCAAGUGUUGGCUAUGAUUACAUUCUUAGACAGGUGAAUUCUGCUUUUGCAAAUUUUAUACUACCUAUUGAAUGUGACUAGCUACUUGCUAGGUGUUUUAUUACUUUGGAGUUUAUCAACUGAUUUUGCAAAAUAGAUUGUUUAUCUGCUAAUGCUAUUAUGACUUGUAAUGAGGAUUCAGUUCAGUGAAGCUGUUCUCAUAUAUUGAUAUUCUAUUAAUUAAUGUGGUAUGGGGUGGUUUAUCAAAAUUGUUUGCUAGCUUAAUACCAAUUGACAAACAAUCAAUUUUUUCUUAAUACCUUCGCACGUUUGUUAGUUUCGUAUGUGAGUUUUUGUGUAGAUUUAAGUUAUAUAGAGUGUAUGCGGAAAUAAGUUAUGUAGAUGCGUGUGCAUGUGUUAUCUCCCAAUUCCUUU
RNA transcript from Quercus lobata, 2164 nucleotides. It is a transcript of the gene named disease resistance protein RPM1-like, with no coding region annotated. Lineage: Eukaryota; Viridiplantae; Streptophyta; Magnoliopsida; Fagales; Fagaceae. The transcript is spliced from 3 exons. The record is from RefSeq and is a predicted model, not a curated record.